This 696-nucleotide ribosomal RNA is filed under the name Lactococcus sp. RNAcentral's name for it is "bacterial SSU rRNA". It matches the Rfam family "Bacterial small subunit ribosomal RNA", at positions 82 to 766 of the family's 1533-position model. Lineage: Bacteria; Bacillati; Bacillota; Bacilli; Lactobacillales; Streptococcaceae. The record is from RNAcentral.
ACCGACUGGAUGAGCAGCGAACGGGUGAGUAACGCGUGGGGAAUCUGCCUUUGAGCGGGGGACAACAUUUGGAAACGAAUGCUAAUACCGCAUAACAACUUUAAACACAAGUUUUAAGUUUGAAAGAUGCAAUUGCAUCACUCAAAGAUGAUCCCGCGUUGUAUUAGCUAGUUGGUGAGGUAAAGGCUCACCAAGGCGAUGAUACAUAGCCGACCUGAGAGGGUGAUCGGCCACAUUGGGACUGAGACACGGCCCAAACUCCUACGGGAGGCAGCAGUAGGGAAUCUUCGGCAAUGGACGAAAGUCUGACCGAGCAACGCCGCGUGAGUGAAGAAGGUUUUCGGAUCGUAAAACUCUGUUGGUAGAGAAGAACGUUGGUGAGAGUGGAAAGCUCAUCAAGUGACGGUAACUACCCAGAAAGGGACGGCUAACUACGUGCCAGCAGCCGCGGUAAUACGUAGGUCCCGAGCGUUGUCCGGAUUUAUUGGGCGUAAAGCGAGCGCAGGUGGUUUAUUAAGUCUGGUGUAAAAGGCAGUGGCUCAACCAUUGUAUGCAUUGGAAACUGGUAGACUUGAGUGCAGGAGAGGAGAGUGGAAUUCCAUGUGUAGCGGUGAAAUGCGUAGAUAUAUGGAGGAACACCGGUGGCGAAAGCGGCUCUCUGGCCUGUAACUGACACUGAGGCUCGAAAGCGUGGGG